CGGAACUUUGGAGACAUCCAUUCAGUUGGAGGCCGAAGGUGCAAGCGUUUAAUACGCCAAACUCUCAGGCAAAAGGACAAAGCUA
This 85-nucleotide non-coding RNA is filed under the name human gut metagenome. RNAcentral's name for it is "Glycine riboswitch". It matches the Rfam family "Glycine riboswitch aptamer", at positions 7 to 88 of the family's 94-position model. From Rfam's summary of the family: This family represents the bacterial glycine riboswitch. Glycine riboswitches usually consist of two metabolite-binding aptamers domains with similar structures in tandem. The record is from RNAcentral.